GACGGAGGGUGCAACCGUUGUUCGGAAUUACUGGGCGUAAAGCGUGUGUAGGCGGCCUCGCAAGUCGGAUGUGAAAGCCCUGGGCUCAACCCAGGAAGUGCACUCGAUACUGCUUGGCUCGAGUCUCGGAGAGGUUGGUGGAAUUCUCGGUGUAGAGGUGAAAUUCGUAGAUAUCGAGAGGAACACCGGUGGCGAAGGCGGCCAACUGGACGAAGACUGACGCUGAGACACGAAAGCGUGGGGAGCAAACAGG
Molecule: ribosomal RNA, 253 nt
Filed under: uncultured bacterium
Lineage: Bacteria
Description: partial 16S ribosomal RNA
Rfam family: Bacterial small subunit ribosomal RNA
Source: RNAcentral